Girardinichthys multiradiatus is the source of this 1345-nucleotide long non-coding RNA. RefSeq lists it as uncharacterized. The transcript has 3 exons. Lineage: Eukaryota; Metazoa; Chordata; Actinopteri; Cyprinodontiformes; Goodeidae. The record is from RefSeq and is a predicted model, not a curated record.
AUUGUUGUAAAAGUAAAUAAGAUUUAAAACCAUGAAGAUCUACACUCCAUACCAGUCGGUGGCGGUAAUGCACAUCUUCAAGUUAUUUGCCAACCGCCAAAAAUAAUACAAGAAGAACCAGAGCGAAGUAAACUCAAGAAUCGGGUUAAACUGGAUUUCAGUCACUGAACUGGUAGAGAAUUAACACAGAUCAUUUAAAAGUCACAAUCUGACGCUUAAUGUGCUUGUUGCACAAAUUGUAAAUUAAAUUAGAGUGUAUUAAACAUCAAACACAGCUACAAUCAGUGAUUCACACACUAAGUAAUAAACACCUAAAUCCGUUAUCAAGCCAACCUUGAGCACAAACGAGAGUUACUGCAGGAUAUAGAUGAUUAAACCUAUAAGGAGUUAGAACAGAUUGUCUCCUUACUGCCCCAUAACACUUUUUUUACUGUAACACCAACACUGAUGUCCUCUGCUAGGCCUGCAGGCAGCAUGAGCAGCACUGGAUGGAGGUUAAGAGUUCAGAUGUCUUCGCAGCUAGAUUGUUGGGUACACAAGCCCAAUGACUAAAUUCUGUCUCAGAAAAUUAAAAUAUUACAUAUGAUUAAUAAAAAUGAUAUUUUAAACAAAUGUCAGGCUUCUGAAAAUGUUCUCAGUACCUGGUCUUGGUUCCGUUUUCAUGAAAUACUGCAUCAGUGUGGCGUGGCUUGAAGGAGAUCAGUCUGUGGUUCUGUUGGGAUGUUCUGGAAGCCCAGGUUGCUUUAACAGUGGCCUUCGGGUCAUCUACAUUGUUGAUUCUGGUGUCUCUCAUCUUCCUCUGGACAAUACUCCAUAGAUUCUCUGUGGGGUUCUGGUCAGCCCAGUUUGCUGGCCAAUCAAGCACGGUAUCACCAUCGUCACUGAACAGGCUUUUGGUACCUUGGUGGGCCGGUACCAAGUCCUGCUGGAAACUAAAAUCAGCAUCUCCAUUAAGCUUUCACAAAAUGCUCUAAAUUUCCUGGUAGAUGGCUGCAUUGACUGUGGACUUCAGAAAACCCAUUGGACCAAAACCAGCAGAUGACAAGGCACCCCAAAUCUUCCCUGACUGUAGAAAUUCACACUGGAUGUCAAGCAACGUGGAUUCUGGCCUCUCCGCUCUUCCUGCAGACUCAGAGACCUUGAUUUCCAAAUAAAAUCAGAACUUUAAUUUAAUCUGAAAAGUGGACUUUGGACCACUGAGCAACUAUCUGGUUCUCUUCCGUCCAGAAAGGACUGAAUGUGUUUUCACCCUUCGUCCAUUAGAAAGAUAAACUGCUUCCCAGAUUGAGCAUACAUAAUCUAAUGGGGGAAUGAUGAAUGAGACAACUGGAGAGACUGAAUCAGA